This is a long non-coding RNA of Homo sapiens (human), 4228 nucleotides long. Ensembl annotates it as NUDT16 divergent transcript. Its record names the gene NUDT16-DT. Lineage: Eukaryota; Metazoa; Chordata; Mammalia; Primates; Hominidae. The record is from Ensembl.
GAUGUCCAGAGCCCAGGAACCUUAGGGAAACCAUAAGCAACCUCUGGGUUGGGCUUGCGGCGGGGCGGGGCGGGGCUGAAGGUGUGGCAGCGCCCUGAACCUGGAGAAAGGCUAGUACAUAAACGCCUACGUCAGAAUCUGGAGUCAGCUGGAGUGUGCCAGCAGCAAGAUGGCCCUUACCAGAUGCUGGCACCUUGAUAUUUGACUUCCCAGCCUCCAGAACUGUGAGAAACAAAUUUAUUUUCUUUAUAAAUUACUCAGAUUGUGGUGUUCUGUUACAGCAACACAAAAUGGACUAUGUGAAGAAAACCAUGUUGGAAUCUUGUGCUGUCAUUGAUAAGAAAGGAUCUGAGCAUUAGGUCAAUCACCAAAAAACUGAAAAAUCAGUAACAAUGAUGACAGACUCUUCAAAUAGGAUGAUUUAAAUUUUAGGAAAUUGGAAGAAGACUCCAAGAAACUUAACAAGGUCCUCCAAUAUUUUCCCCAAAAUGAUCUUCUCUGAUUUGACUAUGCUUGUUCCUCCAUAUCUCCCUGAUCCCUAGACUUCUUCUGUCCUCUAUCCACAUUCUCUCCCAAGGAGCCACUCGAUUCGUUUCCUGCUUCUACCCUCACUACUCUACAGUCUAUUGUCAGCUCAGCAGCCACGGCCAUCUGGAGUGAAAAUGAAGUCUGCCCAGAGCUGCUGGAAGCCCCAGCUGCCCUGCUGCCCAUGGAGUCCUCUGAGGACGACUCCAGAGUCCCUCAACUCCUUGGAGGAGAUAAGCAGCCAACACAGUGUUGUUCAGCAGAUGCCACCGUCUGCCAUAUUCAUUAAUGAUGUCAGAAGUGUAAAACUAAAGGCAGAAGACUGUUGUUUUCAAGAUUGCUCCCCAACUAGGCUUGGCGACCCUUGAAGGCAGAGGACCUUUCUGAGUUAUCUUUGUACCCUGCAUAGUCCUGGCACAAAAUAGCACCUAAGUCAUUCAUUUAGCAAAUUUUUUAAAACAAUAUUCCUGUCAUGACACAUUCAGCAAUUAUUUAUUUAUUUAUUUAUUUAUAUUAUUUUUAGAAACAGGGUCUUGCUCUGUCACCCUGGCUGGAGUGCAGUGGUGCAAUCAUAGCUGCAACCUCGACCUCCCAGGCUUAAGUGAUCCUCCCACCUCAGUCUGUAGAAUAGCUGGGACUACAGGAAUACACCACCACAACCCAGCUCAUUAAAAAAAAAAUUCUGUAGAGACAAGGGUGUCUUGCUAUGUUUCCCAGGCUGGUCUCAAACUCCUAGCCUCAAGCAGUCUUCUCAUGCUGGCCCCCCAAAUCACUAGAAGUACAGGCAUGAGGCACCAUGCUUGGCUAUAAGCACAUUUUUAAUGAGCACUUAGUAUGUGCCACAUGCUGCAGAUGUAGCCACAAGCCUCUGACCUCACAGACCUCAUAUUAAACAAGUAAACAAAUAAGGUAAUUUUAGAUUUUUUUCAGUGCUACAAAAUAAAAACAGGGAAAUAGGAGAGAGAGUAGAGAACAGGACUUUGAGAAGAAAGUCUGGAAUCCCCAAGAAGGUGGGUGUCAGAAAAGAGAUUUGGCACAGACCCCGCCCCUUUUUUUUUUUUUUUUUUUAACCACCAGGCCCUGGAAUUUGAACCACCAUCUUCUGGAGUGACUCAAAUGCAGAGGAAGCCAGGCCUGCUGCUAACGUUUCUGAGAGGCGGCAAGAGUAUAAAUGGAGAUCCACAUAUGUAUAAAUAAAGAGUGUGAAUCAAGCUAACAAACUGUUUAAUAAAAUAUGAUCUACCCUCUUAGCUUGACAAAUCAACUUUUCAAACACCUGGAAGAACAAGUUUGCACUCAGGAUUCUCAGACUCCUCAGAGUUCUGCACUGGGAUGUGGAAGGGCUGUGCAAGCCAGCCCUUGGGUCCCUGAUCCCUGUCUCCUGGCCUGUGCCCGUCUCUUCUCAGCCUGGCUCCAACUCCCAUUGAGAGGAAGUUCUUGUACACAUAUGAUACUGCAGCCCUUAUGUCUAAUAUUUAUCCAUACCUUCUGCAAACAGCCACUGUGUGACCACCCUUGGGCUUCCCAGGGGUCUGCAAACUGACAAUACAGACAAAGGGAACCAAGGCAGAGGCUCACAGACUGUAGAAAUGGGCUUGGGGCCAUCUGGGCAGAGACUUGUGGAAUCCCAGGUAAGCAGGGCAUCUUAGUUUGCUUGUGCUGCUUAAAUACUAUGGAAGAGGUAAUUUAUAAAUAUUAGAAUUUAUUUCUCAGAGUUCUGGAGGCUGGGAAGUCCAAGGUCCAGGUCAAGGUGCUAGCAGAUUUGCUGUCUGGUGGGAGCUGCUCCCUCUGCUUCCAAGAUGGCACUUUUUUGCUGUGUCCUCUGGAGGGGAAGAAAGCUUAGACGGGCAAAAGGGGGCAAUUAUCUCUCUGAGACCUCUUUUGUAAAGGUAUUAAUCCAUUCCUGAGGGCUCUGCCCUCAUGACUUAAUCACUUUCCCAAAAUCUCAUCUCUUAAUACUACCUCAAUGAAGAUUAAGUUUCCAUAUGAAUUUUGAAGGGGUCACAUUCAAGCCACAGCACAGAGCAUGACCUAGCAGAGGAGACGCAAGCUCUGGGUGUGUAAGUCCCCUUUGCUCCAUGGACUUCGUGCUUCAUGGGAAGGGAUGUGGCUGGAGGGUACCCCUCUACAGCACAGGGCCCAGAGCACCCCUCUUGCCUUGGGUUUAGGGAUAGUAUAGGUGGUGGUGGUGAGGCUACUUUUGCUCAUUAAGAAAAGCCUCUUUGAGGGGUGGGACCGAGAAUGUCAUUUGAAUGGAAACUUGAAUCAUAAAGAUGAGUCAUACAAGCCAAGACUUGGGAGAAGGGCAUUCCUAAAUGAGAGAAGAGGAUAUGCCCAGCUCUCAUAAGCUCUGAAGAAGAGUCACCAACUGUGGUGGGUGGAGCCUAAUUAAGAGGAGAAGAAUGGUAAGAGACAAGGUGAGAUGGUCAGGCAGGAGCAGGGAGCCUGGAGGUCAGGUAAGGGGGCUUGACUUUGCCAUGGGUGCAAUGGGAAGCCUCUGGAGGGUUGAUAUGAUUUGAAUUCUGUUACAGCACGAUCACUCUGGGUGCUGUGUGAAAUGGAUGAAUAGCAAGGAGCUGCAGCCAAGAGCAAAUCAACAGAAGCACCACUCAAAAUGCCUCAGUACCCAUUACAUAAGGAUUCUUGUGAUUAAUUCUUCCCCAAAAUUUAGAGCCAAGAAAAAUCCAGCUCUCCUACUGAGAGUUGUAGAUUAGAGCUUCUGUUUCUAAUCUACAAACAAACAAAUGUGUGCAAUGUCUUUUCAUGACAAUUCCAACUUUAUCAUAAGGUUGUCUACUAAGAAACUAGUAGGCAGGUUUCUCUUGUUGUCUAGACCACCUGAAAGCUCAUAGCUGAGUUUGCACUUAUUUGCAGAGUAAACUGCUCAUUUAUCAAUCUGGCAUCCAAUCACAACUUUUUAGCUAACUGUAUGUUUUCAUAAACACUUUUCUCACACAGUAUAAAUUUUAAAUAAAUAACAAUAGCAAUUAAGUAGUAACAACUCGAGACUGGUAUCUGACUAGUGGUUCUUUCACCAGUGUGUACACUGGAAGUUUUGUUUUGUUUUUUGAUGUUUGUACAUUGUAAUUGCAGGACAGGUAGUAAGAAGAUUUCAAAUUCACAUUAGCUUUGCUACCACUAAAUUAUGGUGACUGUUCCUAAUUUGCAAACAAAUGUAUGCAAUCUCUUUUUAUGAUUAUCCCAACUUUAUCAUAAGGUUGUUAUAUUUUAAGACAUAUGAAAAGAUAUAAAGUAUAAUACAGUGAAUACAUAUAUAUCUAACUCCCAGUUUAAGAAAUAAAACAUUAGCAAAUACAGCUGAAGCUCCAUGAAUUCCCCUCCCAAAUCAUACUCCCUUCCCACCCGCAGAGGGAACCUCUAUUCUGAGCCUGGUGUUUAUCACCACCAAGAAUUAAAAAAAUACUUUUACUAUAUAUACACAAGUAUGUACCCCUUAGAAAUGAGUAGUAGUACUGUUUUGUAUGUCUUUACACUUUAAGUAAAUGGUAUAAGUUAUUUCUUGUUUUUGCUCAAAAUUGUUGAAAUUUAUGCCCUUUGAUUCUAUAGCUGACUUUCACUGUGAGUCAUUCCAUCAUUAUUUCUGUAUUCAUUCUCCUGCUGAAGUACAUUUCAGGUUGUUGCUAUUCCUCUGCUGAUCCCCCUCCCCCAACACACAUGCUUUUAUUAAUAAAUCUGCUGGAAC